Long non-coding RNA from Mytilus californianus (California mussel), 4342 nucleotides. RefSeq lists it as uncharacterized. The record is from RefSeq and is a predicted model, not a curated record. Lineage: Eukaryota; Metazoa; Mollusca; Bivalvia; Mytilida; Mytilidae. The transcript is spliced from 2 exons.
CUUUAGCCUAUCUAAACCAUAUGAUGUAAAGCUACCAGGAUUAAAAUUGUGUAUGCCAGAGGCGCGUUUUGUCCACAAAAGACUCAUCAGUGACGCUCGACUAAAAAAUGUUAAAAGGCAAAAUAAAGUUGACGAACAAUGAGGACCCAACAUUCCGAAAGUUGUUGCCAAAUACAGCUAAGGUAAUUUAUUCCUGGUAUAGCAAACCCUAAGUAUUUCAAAAAAUUCAAAGCUUUGUAAACUGUUAAAUUAUAAUUAUGACCACAUUAUGAUAUUUCAUGUGCUGACUACUGAGCUGGUGAUACCAACGGAUUUUCGAUUGAAAAUGGUUCGAAAGCGAAAUCGAAAACAACUUCAAUGGCCAAAGCCUGCACAAAACAAGACAUCCAGUCAAAACAGAAACAAUGUCCGAAAAGAGAACCAACAACUACAUCUAGAGAGCAUACUAUGUCCAGAAGAUCACUUCAGGCGGAAUCUUUUUAGGGAAAGUAUAAUUGAAAGAAGGGAUCUCAACAAAAGUUUGUUUGAAAAGGCAAGAGUAAAAGUGUCUUCUGUCUUUCCCGGGUGCAAAAUUAUCACGUGCUUCUCCAAUAUUACAUUUGAAAUAAUGCAUUUAAUACCACACUAUCCACACUUGUUACCAGAACUUAUUUUACUGAGAACAGUGGAAGAUGAUUCGAUAUUGCUUGGCAAAAUACACAGGGUUUCUGAAGUGAAUAAGAAGGUUUAUGUUCGGGAUAUUAACGACGAAGAACUGUGCUUGGAGCUACUCUGUUUGUCUGGUAUAACAAGACCGGGACGCUUCGUCGCACUCAAAAACCCAACACUUACAGUAUUUCAAGAUGGCGAGUUUGGAUUUCGUACAAAUGAAACAGGAAGUGUUCCUUAUAUUGACGUGGAUGGAGGUUACUUCAGUACUGCAUGUAUAAUUUUUGUCACAAUUAUUUGUGUUUUGAUGUUUUCAUAUUUUGUAAAAUGUUGUGGUGAAUAAAAAGUACUCAUCUCACGACAUUUGUUUCUGGAAAAAAAACAUCACUUAAUUUGUGUGUGUCUCUGUCCUGUAUGUUCUCCCGUUUAUUUGUAUUGUAGUCCUAUCCUGUAAUCUUGUCAUUUUAAUGUUAUAUUUAAGUUCAAAUUUUUGGAAACUCAUAAAAUAUAUGAUAUUUGAGAAUAGUAACAGAUUAUAAAAGGAGAACCCAAAACAUACAUCAACAUUUUUUUUCAAAUUGAUAAAAAUAUAUUUACUUUUGUAAACAUUUACGCCAAAAAUAAAGAUAGAAAUACAUUCUUCAAAAAAGCUUUAAGUGUCAUUGAAAAAUAUAAACUUGGUAUAAUUAUUAUAGGGGGAGAUAUGAAUGAAACGCUUAAUAUAAAAGUUAAAAGAAGUAAUAGAAAAGAUAAACAAAAAAUAAAAAAUAAAAAAUAAGACAAAUGCGUUGAAAAGUUUAAUAAAAAAACUAAAGGUUAUAGACAUUUGGAGAGUAAUAAAUUCAAAAAAAAAAAAAAAAAAAUUACCUUGAUAAGAAAAAAAAAUGAAGUAGCUAGUAGAAUUGAUUAUUUUCUCGUGAGUCAAGACAUGAGACCUAGGGUACUCCACACUGAUAUAAGACCCACCACAAUUCAAUAUACAAACCAUCUAGCGAUUUCACUUAAGAUAAAUCAUUGUCAGGGGGAGAAAGGAAAGGGUUAUUUCAAAUUAAACAAUAGUAUUAUUAAAGUCGAAUCAAAAUGAAGAUAAACACUUUAAUAGAUAAAUAUGAAAAAUUAAGAAACCGAAAAAGCUUAGCAAUUGUGUGGGAUCUGUUUAAAAUAGAGGUAAAGGAGACUACUAUUGAAUAUUGUAAAUUUAAAGCUGUAAAUAAACGAGAUGAAAUUAAAGAAUUAGAACAAGAACUAAAACUUUUGAAUGAAAUUCAGGAUAACAACCUUGCUGAAAAAAAAAAAAAAAUGCCGAACAUAAUAGAUUCAAUAAAGAAAACCGAAGAAAUGCUACAAACUCUAUAUUCUGAUAAAAUAAAAGGGGCACAAAUUAGAUCAAGAGUUAAGUGGAUAGAAGAAGGCGAAAAAAAUACAAAAUAUUUUUUGGGAUUAAAGAAAUCGAGACAGACAAGAAAAAAUAUUAUUGCUAUUAGAGACAGUCAAGGGGAAAUAACUGAAGGUAAAAUAUUAGAAACGGGGAGGAAUUAUUAUGUAAAUUUAUAUACUUCAACUAAGCCAGAUUUAGGAGAAAUUGAGAAAUAUAUUGAAAAUACAAAAAUAAACUGUAAACAAACUACACUCGAAAGUAAUGAAAUUGAAGGAAAGCUGACAAUAGAGGAAUGUACAAAUUCUGUUUUCAAAAUGAAACUUAACAAAACACCGGGUAUUGAUGGUCUUCCAAUUGAAUUUUAUAGAUCUUUCUGGUCCAACUUACAAUAUUUUGUUGUAGAUGUCUUUAAUCAUUGUUAUGAGAAACAAGAAUAGACAAAUUCACAGAAACUAGGAUUAAUUACCCUUAUUUACAAGAAAAAUGACCCGUUAAAAUUAGACAAUUAUAGACCAAUUACUUUAUUAAAUGUAGAUACCAAAAUUAAAGCAUAUUCUCUUGCACAAAGACUUAAACCAGUAUUGCAUAAAAUCAUUCACAGUGAUCAAAACGGGUAUGUAAAAAAAAGAUAUAUUGGGUUUAAUAUUAGACAAAUCCAAGAUAUUAUAGACUAUUCAGAAAAAUUCAACGUAGACUUUUUUUAGAUUUUUCAAAGGCAUUUGACUCAUAAGAAUUGGAAUUUAUGUAUUGUUCAUUAAAGAAAUUUGGCUUUCAGAAAUCUUUACUGAAGUGGAUAAAUACUUUAUAUACAUAUAUAAAGGGUUGCAUAUUAAAUAAUGGGUGGAUUUCAAUACCCUUCCGCAUUGAGCGCGGGAUCCGUCAAGGGUGUCCCGCGAGUUCUAUAAUUUUCGUUUUUGCUGUUGAAAUUCUAGCCUGUAGAUUAAGAAAAGAUAAAAAUUUUUUAAAGGUUUUCAAAUCAAACUAGAUAAUAAAACCCAUACUCUAAAGUUAAGCCGGCUUGCAGAUGACACCACUUUAUUUUAAAAUUCAAAACAAGAAGUUUCAUUAACUUUGAACAAUAUCGAAAUUUUCGGAUCACUUUCAGGCUUAAAGCUUAAUCGAAAUAAAACAGAGGGGAUAUGGCUCGGAAAUUUAAAGUCCUUUAAAGACAUUAAGUGGACACAAGAACCGAUAAAAGUAUUAGGAAUAUAUUUUCAACAUAAUAAAAAUGAGUGUAAAAAAUUAAACUUGCAAAAACAAUACGAAAAAUCGGAAAAAAUAAUUAAAGAUUGGAAUAAAAGAAAAUUAACUAUGUUAGGUAAAAUAACUCUUGUUAAAUCACUAAUCCUACCAAAUAUUACCUAUGUUGCAUCACUAACAGAAAUUGAUAAGAAUACCUCGCAAAAUUUAAAAAAAUAAUAUAUAGUUUUAUAUGGAAUAGUUCAAAGAGCUAUAAUAAGUAAAAAAAUUUAUGCUGGCGGGCUUAUAAUGAUAGACAUAGAUAAAUAUAUACAAUCCAUUAAUAUUAUUUAGAUAAAAAGACUCAUUGAUAAUGAAGACUCAUCACCCAAUUGGAAAGUCUUACCAAAAUUUUACCUAGACAAAUUUGGACAAGAAUUCCUUAUAUUUAAAAUGGACUUUAACAAUAUUAAUUUGAUUAAUAAACUUAAUUGUUCCAGAAUUUUACUUAAAAAUAAUCAUAUCAUGGAUAAAUUCAAAAUCUGAAAAAGAAUCAGAUCGACUAACAUAUAAACAUAUCAGACAGCAACUAAUAUGGGACAAUAAGCAUAUCAAAUUAAAAGAUAAAUAUCUUAUUUUCAAAUAUUGGAUAGACAGUAAAAUUUUAUUUGUAAAUGACAUAAUUGAUGAUAAAGGAAAAAUUGAUCAAAAUAAGAUUUUAGUUAAACUAUCUUAAUUUGCCAUGCUAAUUGGUUUUCGGAAUAUACUAAAUUGAUGAAAGCAAUACCAAAACAGUGGUUUCAAGAGCAAAUAAAAGAAGAAUCAGUUAAAACAAAAGUCGCUACCGACUCCGAAUUUAAAUUCAUAGAUAGAGAAGGAUAAAUGAUACCAAUAAAAGCAUUUUCCUCAAAAGAUAUCUACAUCUCCCUUUUAAAAAGAUAUUAUGAGAAAGCAAUAGGAUUUCAAAAAUGGGACAGAAUUCUUAAUUUAGAUAACAAUACAAGGAAAAGAGAACAAAUGUUGUACUUUAUCUUUAACUUUAUCCAAGAUAAUAAAUUGAGAAUGUUAAGAUGGAAAUUUCUACAUUGCAUUUUGCCAACCAAACAAUUACUUUUCUCUUGGAAAAUAACUAAAACU